AUGACUUGGAGCAUGCACAGCACCCUUGGGCAGUGCUGUCUGGUCCUGCCAAGACAUGAUAGAUAUAGAAACACAGAUGUUCUGCCAUCUACAGGAAGUUGGUCCGUACCAUCACAGGUUUCUCCGAGGUGGAAGUCGCACAAACCAAGCACAUCAGCCAAGAUCUGUUUGCUCCACAGUCCCACACAAUGGAGGGGGGCAAAGGACUGCUUGGUGAUGCUUAAUGCACAUUCUCUGGGCUGAAAACCAGGUGGGAGAAUUUGCAGGGGAUGCCCUUCUUUCUCUUCCACAGCAAAAAAGGUAAGGGCCAGCAGGGUAUCUGAAGCAGAGGGCUGUGGGUACAGCACCCACGGGUGCACAGAAAGUUGGAUAGGUUGUGGUUACUGAGCAUAUGCAGAGGCCAGUUCUUACUGCAUAUGAGACCAUGUGAUGGCUCUGUGGUAAAAUGGCCAAAAAGCAGUGAAUUGUGGAAGGAUAUGCGGUCCCUUAACUUUAUGUACGAGUCUGAAUUUUCCAUUGCUGAGAGGCGAUGAGUGACUGCAGAUGACCACAGCUUGUGGGGUCACAGRUGACAUGGGCUGCAAUGCUCGACCUACCACAGUGGGAAGCUGCGGACACUGAAAGAGCUUUUGACCCCCAGGCAAAAGUGGUGCAGAGCAGGGAGAUGACUGCUGCCUUACCUUCUUUUGGCUGAUGCCACCUGGACAAGGAGAGGAAGUGGCAAAAGAACUUGACUUUUUGAACUAUAAUCUUGGUUUCUCUCCCUGUGUUCCAGGUACCUUUCUUCCACCAAGGCAUAUUUGCCAGGAGUCAGACCUGAUAAAUAGGCAUAGCUUUAGCCCCAUCAGUCAUACACCAGUUCUAGGUGUCGGGGUUUUUUGAUUUCUUUAACUGAGGGACUGGGAAAAAGGGGUGGGUGGACAUGUAAUGACUAUCAGCAGAACCACAUUACAAGCAAGGCCAACCAAAUUUGGCCUUGAAUCAAUGGUAGGAAAUUGUCUAGGUAAAUCAUUCAAAUUAUGUGAAUGCAUAGUGUGCCUGCAUUUGUAUGUUCAUGUAUCUUUUAUUUUCAAAGAUCAAAAUGUAAAAUCUCUGCAACAACUUCAAACUUUAUUGAGGAACUUAAAAAAGGCUACAUCUUUUUCUUGAAAGUAGUGUUGUUUCCAUUGCCGAGCUAGCAUUUUCUCAAAGAGAGGAAAACUGUUGUCCUUUAAGUGUACUUGACCUAGGUCUCCUUUUAUAC
This 1243-nucleotide long non-coding RNA is filed under the name Apteryx haastii (Great spotted kiwi). Its description in RNAcentral is "lncRNA (ENSAHAG00000008617.1)". The record is from RNAcentral. Lineage: Eukaryota; Metazoa; Chordata; Aves; Apterygiformes; Apterygidae.